UAGGGUUUGAUUAUGGCUCAGAUUGAACGCUGGCGGUAUGCUUAACACAUGCAAGUCGAACGGAAACGAAACUAGCUUGCUAGUUGGCGUCGAGUGGCGGACGGGUGAGUAACGCGUAGGAAUCUACCUAGUAGUGGGGGAUAGCCCGAAGAAAUUCGGAUUAAUACCGCAUAAUCUAUUCGUAGUAAAGUGGGGGACUUUCGAGCCUCACGCUAUUAGAUGAGCCUGCGUAAGAUUAGCUUGUUGGUAGGGUAAAAGCCUACCAAGGCUACGAUCUUUAGCUGGUCUGAGAGGAUGAUCAGCCACAUCGGGACUGAGACACGGCCCGAACUCCUACGGGAGGCAGCAGUGGGGAAUAUUGGACAAUGGGGGCAACCCUGAUCCAGCAAUACCGCGUGUGUGAAGAAGGCCUGAGGGUUGUAAAGCACUUUCAAUUGUGAAGAAAAGUUAGCGGUUAAUAACCGUUAGCCUGACGUAA
Molecule: ribosomal RNA, 478 nt
Filed under: bacterium enrichment culture clone NPHTC-003
Lineage: Bacteria
Description: bacterial SSU rRNA
Rfam family: Bacterial small subunit ribosomal RNA
Source: RNAcentral